UAUACCUCUUGUAUUUAAAACCCUACUCUUUAAAAUAUAAAUUUUAUUUAAAAAAACCUUUCAACAAUGGAUCUCUUGGCUCUCGCAUCGAUGAAGAACGCAGCGAAAUGCGAUAGGUAAUAUGAAUUGCAGAAUUCCGUGAAUCAUCAAAUUUUUGAACGCAAAUUGCGCUUCUUGGUAUUCCGAGGAGUACACAUGCUUGAGGGGCAGUUAAAAAAAAUAAUCGUACAUCUUUUGAUGUGGCGGAUCUGGGUUAUCCGAUCAUAUUAAUCGGUUACCUAAAAUUUAAGAUGGAUAUAUAAUGUGAAGCGUACUAAGUUAGUCGCUAAUCAUUUAUGAUAUUUAUUACAUUACCAACAUUUAGUUGGUGGUGUAUAAAUUAUGAGAAAUGACCUCAAGUUAUGUGAGAGUACCCGCUGAACUUAAGCAUAUCAACAAGCGGAGGAAAAGAAACUAACAAGGAUUCCCCUAGUAACGGCGAGUGAAGCGGGAAAAGCACAAAUUUAAAAUCUACCUGGUUUUCAGGUCGAGUUGUAAUUUGAAGAAAUGUUUUUGACGUUCCGGG
This 565-nucleotide ribosomal RNA is filed under the name Fuscutata aurea. RNAcentral's name for it is "eukaryotic LSU rRNA". The stretch from base 56 to 209 matches the Rfam family "5.8S ribosomal RNA". Lineage: Eukaryota; Fungi; Glomeromycota; Glomeromycetes; Diversisporales; Gigasporaceae. The record is from RNAcentral.